UACAGAGGUCUCAAGCGUUGUUUCGGAUUCAUUGGGCGUAAAGGGUGUGUAGGUGCGCCGUAAGUCGGGUGUGAAAUUUCGGAGCUUAACUCCGAAACUGCAUUCGAUACUGCGGUGCUUGAGGACUGGAGAGGAGACUGGAAUUCAUGGUGUAGCAGUGAAAUGCGUAGAGAUCAUGAGGAAGACCAGUGGCGAAGGCGGGUCUCUGGACAGUUCCUGACACUGAGACACGAAGGCCAGGGGAGCAAACGGG
RNAcentral lists this ribosomal RNA (253 nucleotides) under uncultured bacterium. RNAcentral's name for it is "partial 16S ribosomal RNA". It matches the Rfam family "Bacterial small subunit ribosomal RNA", at positions 524 to 776 of the family's 1533-position model. The record is from RNAcentral.